This 397-nucleotide ribosomal RNA is filed under the name uncultured bacterium. Its description in RNAcentral is "partial 16S ribosomal RNA". It matches the Rfam family "Bacterial small subunit ribosomal RNA", at positions 523 to 918 of the family's 1533-position model. The record is from RNAcentral.
AUACGUAGGUGACAAGCGUUAUCCGGAUUUACUGGGCGUAAAGGGCGUGUAGGCGGUCUUGCAAGUCAGAAGUGAAAUUCCUGAGCUCAACUCGGGCGCUGCUUCUGAAACUGCAGGACUUGAGUGCUGGAGGGGAUAGCGGAAUUCCUAGUGGAGCGGUAAAAUGCGCAGAUAUUAGGAAGAACACCGGUGGCGAAGGCGGCUAUCUGGACAGUAACGGACGCUGAGGCGCGAAAGCGUGGGGAGCAAACAGGAUUAGAUCCCCUGGUAGUCCACGCCGUAAACGAUGAAUACUAGGUGUAGGGGGUAUCGACUCCCUCUGUGCCGCAGUUAACACAAUAAGUAUUCUGCCUGGGGAGUACGGCCGCAAGGUCGAAACUCAAAGGAAUUGACGGGG